This 492-nucleotide ribosomal RNA is filed under the name uncultured bacterium. Its description in RNAcentral is "partial 16S ribosomal RNA". It matches the Rfam family "Bacterial small subunit ribosomal RNA", at positions 29 to 507 of the family's 1533-position model. The record is from RNAcentral.
AGUGAACGCUGGCGGUAGGCCUAACACAUGCAAGUCGAACGGCAGCACAGUAAGAGCUUGCUCUUACGGGUGGCGAGUGGCGGACGGGUGAGGAAUACAUCGGAAUCUACUUUUUCGUGGGGGAUAACGUAGGGAAACUUACGCUAAUACCGCAUACGACCUACGGGUGAAAGUAGGGGAUCUUCGGACCUUGCGCGAUUGAAUGAGCCGAUGUCGGAUUAGCUAGUUGGCGGGGUAAAGGCCCACCAAGGCGACGAUCCGUAGCUGGUCUGAGAGGAUGAUCAGCCACACUGGAGCUGAGACACGGUCCAGACUCCUACGGGAGGCAGCAGUGGGGAAUAUUGGACAAUGGGCGCAAGCCUGAUCCAGCCAUACCGCGUGGGUGAAGAAGGCCUUCGGGUUGUAAAGCCCUUUUGUUGGGAAAGAAAAGCAGCAGGUUAAUACCCCGCUGUUCUGACGGUACCCAAAGAAUAAGCACCGGCUAACUUCGUG